GUAUUAAUGCCAUGCACCCAAAGACAAGAAAAAUUCUGCAGCUCUUGCGUUUGAGACAGAUAUUUAAUGGUGUGUUUCUGAAGGUCAAUAAGGCCACUCAACAUGCUGCAUAGGGUUGAGCCCUACGUGACAUAUGGGUUGGACUGAUGCUUUCGGGAAUGGGAGCUAACUCUGAUGUUUUCAGAAUGGAUUUUAGUCAAUUGUGCCUAAAUUUAGGCUAACAAGCACUUCAGCCUUUUGACGCCAGUCGUGCUAGGAGUAUGCCAUAUAGAGGAUUUGUUUAUUUAUUUAUUUAUAAUUCAAGACCAUUUUCAAUUUAUUGUAAUAAAUAUUAUAUAUAUAUAUAUAUAUAUAUAUAUAUAUAUAUAUAUAUAUAUAUAUAUAU
This is a long non-coding RNA of Magnolia sinica, 385 nucleotides long. RefSeq lists it as uncharacterized. The transcript is spliced from 4 exons. The record is from RefSeq and is a predicted model, not a curated record. NCBI's taxonomy places the organism in Eukaryota, Viridiplantae, Streptophyta, Magnoliopsida, Magnoliales, Magnoliaceae.